UGGUUAUCAGCAUCGUGCCUAGUUUU
This 26-nucleotide non-coding RNA is filed under the name Homo sapiens (human). Lineage: Eukaryota; Metazoa; Chordata; Mammalia; Primates; Hominidae. The record is from RNAcentral.